UACAGAGGUCUCAAGCGUUGUUCGGAUUCAUUGGGCGUAAAGGGCGCGUAGGCGGGGAGGUAAGUCGGGUGUGAAAUCCCUCGGCCCAACCGAGGAACUGCGCCCGAGACUGCUUCUCUUGAGUCCCGGAGAGGAAGAUGGAAUUCCCGGUGUAGCGGUGAAAUGUGUAGAGAUCGGGAGGAACACCGGUGGCGAAGGCGACUACCUGGCCUGUUCUUGACGCUGAGGCGCGAAAGCUAGGGGAGCAAACGGG
RNAcentral lists this ribosomal RNA (253 nucleotides) under uncultured bacterium. RNAcentral's name for it is "partial 16S ribosomal RNA". It matches the Rfam family "Bacterial small subunit ribosomal RNA", at positions 524 to 776 of the family's 1533-position model. The record is from RNAcentral.